RNAcentral lists this unclassified non-coding RNA (237 nucleotides) under uncultured Coprinellus. Its description in RNAcentral is "sequence contains ITS1". Lineage: Eukaryota; Fungi; Basidiomycota; Agaricomycetes; Agaricales; Psathyrellaceae. The record is from RNAcentral.
AUGAAUAUCUAUGGCGUGGUUGUCGCUGGCGCUUCGGCGCAUGUGCACACCCGCUAUUCAUAUCUUUCCACCUGUGCACUUUAUGUAGAACUGAGAAACUCUCGCUCUCGAGCGGAUGCAAGGAUUGCUGCGUCGCAAGGCCGGCUCUCUUUGAACUCUCAGUUCUAUGUACUCAUACACCCCAUUACAAACAGUCAAAGAAUGAAACAAUGGGCUUCGUGCCUAUAAAACUAUAUA